This 1585-nucleotide long non-coding RNA is filed under the name Vulpes vulpes (red fox). RNAcentral describes it as "lncRNA (ENSVVUG00000013366.1)". The record is from RNAcentral. Lineage: Eukaryota; Metazoa; Chordata; Mammalia; Carnivora; Canidae.
GUUUACUAUGUCAGGGUGGGGGGUGGUGAGGGGGAGAGGAGCAACUUGAGCCUGAACACCUGUCCUUAAUUUCCCUGCUGUCACCAUCAAGGCAUAGUAAACAGAGAAUAAGGUGUCUGAAGACAGCCUAUGUUCCUCUGAGGUUCUGCAGGCAUCUGGGAUGCUUUCCUGUCGCUCAGGUCCAUGACAGGCACCAGUGCAGUGACUGGCACUCUUUCCUCAUCCACAUUGAGCAGAGCAUCCUCCAAAUUCAGGCCUUUUGUACACAUCCAACUCACACCCUUUCUCCAUCACUCUCUUGUCUCCGCUCCCAACCCCUCAAAGCAGCAGAACAAAUGAAUCAUAGAGUUCUUUUAAUGGAAUCCGGCUCUGAAGGAGAAUGUCUGAGUGGAACCAAAGAGAGGAUUCUGAGUCCCCAUUCACCAUCAAGAGAUCAAACAGCAGGUGGAUCACAGAGACACAAGGUGGAGGGCAGGCCGUGAAGAGCCCGGCAAUGGCCAGCACAGUGAUUUCUGACCUAAGCCCUGUGAGACUGCAAGUGGCACAGUCUCCAUUCCCAGUUCCUGAGGAGUUUCCUGCAAUGACUUUGGCUAAAGCCACAGGGAUCCUUGCCUCAGCCAGGAAUUACUAAGCCCGAUUAUCUCCAAGGCACCUGCCAGCUUGGACAUUCUAUGAAACGAGCAAAAUUAGGAAAAAUGUGAAGCAUGUUAAGGUAUCCAUCAUAAGCUGAUGUGCAUCACAUACUGGUUUCUGUUUGUACAGCAAAGACACGGGAACAUUUUAGGCAGCACUGACCUAGCACAGGGCAGGUCCUAGGUCUGUAGCUAUUGGUCCAUAAAGUGAGUCUGGGUAGGGGAGGCAGAAGGAAGGAGCAGUGGGGAGCCCUUGGUGAUAGCCUGGAGCCUAAGGUCUAGGGAUAGCUCAGUCAGUGACUGGGUAGUGGCAUUCAUCUAUCACCUAUUCAUUUGUUCAUUUAUUUGGGGGGCAUUUAUGUGAUCUGACUGAGUUAGACAUUUGAGAUAAGAUGUGUAGGACAGAGUUUACUAGACUAUGUUUUUCCUGAGAGCCAGAGUCUUGCCCUAUUUCUCCAGUGCCUGAACAUGACCCUUUCUUGAGGAGCGAGUACACUAGUGGGUCUUUAGAAAAAUAAUUUCCUUUCCUGGAACUCAGUGUUCUCACUUAUAAAAUGGUUUGAGGGGCCGGGGAUGGGACUUAAUGAUGUCCAAGAUCCCUUCUCACUUGAUUGUUUUGUUCUGCUGUUACAUUUAUUUGGUGUCCUGUAGUGAAGAAGGUUUGCACACAAAGAUGGAGCAAAAAGUCACAGAACAAUCUGCAGCAGAGGUAAACUGCAAGCACCAAGCCUCCUACAGGAGUGCGUGAGGCCAGUAAAUCGCACUGAUCCAGGCUGGGAGCAAGAUGCUGUGUCUGAACACCCUCGGGCCAGAGAAGCAGAAGCUCUGAGUUCCUGUCACUACCCCCCCACCCCGCCCCCUGCUUUUACCUGUCACCCCAACUCUCCGGGGAUAGCAGCAUCUACCUCACAUAUUACUGUGAUGAUUAAAUGUGAAAACACAUAUGAAAGGUC